CAGUCGCCACGGGAAUACGUAGGGUGCAAGCGUUAAUCGGAAUUACUGGGCGUAAAGCGCACGUAGGCGGAUAUUUAAGUCAGGGGUGAAAUCCCGCAGCUCAACUGCGGAACUGCCUUUGAUACUGGGUAUCUUGAGUAUGGAAGAGGUUAGUGGAAUUGCGAGUGUAGAGGUGAAAUUCGUAGAUAUUCGCAGGAACACCAGUGGCGAAGGCGGCUAACUGGUCCAUAACUGACGCUGAGGUGCGAAAGCGUGGGGAGCGAACAGGAUUAGAUACCCGUGUAGUCCCUGUCUCUUAUAC
RNAcentral lists this ribosomal RNA (301 nucleotides) under uncultured bacterium. RNAcentral describes it as "partial 16S ribosomal RNA". It matches the Rfam family "Bacterial small subunit ribosomal RNA", at positions 509 to 807 of the family's 1533-position model. The record is from RNAcentral.